Molecule: ribosomal RNA, 497 nt
Filed under: uncultured bacterium
Lineage: Bacteria
Description: partial 16S ribosomal RNA
Rfam family: Bacterial small subunit ribosomal RNA
Source: RNAcentral
GACGAACGCUGGCGGCGUGCCUAAUACAUGCAAGUAGAACGCUGAAACUUGGUGCUUGCACCGAGCGGAUGAGUUGCGAACGGGUGAGUAACGCGUAGGUAACCUGCCUGGUAGCGGGGGAUAACUAUUGGAAACGAUAGCUAAUACCGCAUAAGAGUAGAUGUUGCAUGACAUUUGCUUAAAAGGUGCAAUUGCACCACUACCAGAUGGACCUGCGUUGUAUUAGCUAGUUGGUGGGGUAACGGCUCACCAAGGCGACGAUACAUAGCCGACCUGAGAGGGUGAUCGGCCACACUGGGACUGAGACACGGCCCAGACUCCUACGGGAGGCAGCAGUAGGGAAUCUUCGGCAAUGGACGGAAGUCUGACCGAGCAACGCCGCGUGAGUGAAGAAGGUUUUCGGAUCGUAAAGCUCUGUUGUAAGAGAAGAACGAGUGUAAGAGUGGAAAGUUCACACUGUGACGGUAUCUUACCAGAAAGGGACGGCUAACUACGUG